Molecule: transfer RNA, 77 nt
Filed under: Actinomycetota bacterium
Lineage: Bacteria; Bacillati; Actinomycetota
Description: tRNA-Met
Source: RNAcentral
GGAGGGGCGACGCGCCAGUAAGAUCGCUGGGCUCAUAACCCCAGAGGACGCCGGUUCGAGUCCGGUCCCCGCUACCA